AAACUAAAAGGGGAUUUUCACUUGUGUGAAGUAACGAAGAACGUUUUAAAGCUCUAAAAAAAGCCAAACCGUCUACAACAAUGUUUGAUCAACAGCUUUCAAAGAGAACGGUGCAGAAUUUAAAGAAAUUUCAAGACUGGGGGGCGGUGCAGAAGGACAUCGAAGAUGUUCAAGCGUUGUUUUCAGCCACGAAGAUAGAAGCGCAGAGUAUGGGACCCUUGCAGGAGCAAACAGUGGAGAUGCAAGAGAAACUGAAGAAGGUGUUGCAGGACUUUAAAAGCUCUGUGAGCACCAUUGCGGAAGUGUCAUCGUCCUGUGAUGUACGUGGUACUAUAGAGAAAAUGGCACAGAACGUGGAAGCAGUGAAGGAAGAGUUCUUCCUCUACGAGUUCACUAUCAACACCAGCAUAAGCGAGAUGAAGAGGAAGAAGCAGGAACUGGAGGAGGAAAUCCAGGAGAAAAACGCCACCAUAAAGCAGAAGCAGCAGGUGAUGGAGCUCAAAGAGGAGCUGAAGAGAGAGACCGAAGAUGAGAAGCGGCAGGCGGAGAGCGACCGGCGCAGGUACGAGCAGCUGGCCGAGGAGCACGACCGCGAGCACGCCGUGGCCACCGCCGCCGCCGUCUCCACCUCGGUGGGCGGCGCCGUGGCCUCGGGUCUGCUGUUCUUCGUGCCGGUCGUCGGCCCUGUCCUGGCCGCGGCGACGCUGGCGGGGACGGUCACCGGGACAGCGGUGGCCUCGGUCAAGGCCGUGGAAUACCGGGACAAGAUGAAAGAGGCCGCAGAGAAAGAGAAAAGGACCAGAGACAAGAUCACCCGGCUGGCGUCCGACAUUCAGAAAAACAGGAACGCGAUUGAGGAGGAGACCAGGAAAAUCGCAGAGAUGCGCACGGAAAUAGCCACGUUCGAGAGAGUAACCCAAAAGCUGACGGAUUUCAAGAAGCGUCUCCACGGCGACGCUGGCCUCAGCCAGUUUGUGGAGGUGCUGGGCGAGUUCUUUGAGACCAUGCUAUUGGCACUGGGGAUUAUAAAACGGACAGAGGAAAUAUACCAUCGGACUUUAAAGAACCACAGUUCAAAGAGUAUGAUCAGUAAAAAAUUCCUUGAGAAAACAAAGGUAAGUGACAUCGCAUUUCAGUCCAGCUCCUCGUAACUUGUCUAAAGAUCAGCCUUCUGUAUUUCUCACGCCGAUUUGUGCUGCUGUUCAGACACAUGUGAGAUGUGUUGCUCACGGUCUCCCGAGACAAAACCAUGUUUUCCUGCAAAACAACAGACACAAGUGUGCCGAGCGAUCAGUGUGGCGAAUAGUCUACCGUCACAGGUCCUUCUGCUGCCUCACGGACUGGGGACACUGGUACACACACACUCCCAGGACAGGACACUGCUGGGCUGCUUUCUCCCAGUGCACUCCAGGUCAAAUAAGGAAACCGUUUUCGCUUUAAGUCACAAGAAGAAGACAAACGGGCAGGUCUGUGUCCUGAUCUCACAAUCUUCCUGAGGGCCACAACACCUCCGCCAUGUGGCUGUCCAUUCCCAUGGGCACGUCCCUUCCUGGCACAAGUACGGCGUCAGGGAGGGGCCAGCGGUAGGAAAAACAUCGAGGGAAGGAUGUACAAUUCGUGCGCACGAAAGAACGUUUUCUGUCUCUUUCCUCCGUUUUCUCUGUCUAGUCGCACGCACAUAGAAAGUUUCUAAAACGCCAGCGUUAUCCCCGGCUCCUGACAACGCUGUCAAACGCUAGCGAACACGUUACCGCGACUUCAUAGUCGUACAAUGAAGCCUACAGGAAGUGUCUGACGCUGCUGUAGAGGAGGGUGACGGAUAGAGAUGAUCAAGUUUUAUUUUGGUUUGGGGAUGAGUUACUCGGGCAGUGUAGCUACUGUACUCUUGAACUACUAGUGAGGACUGCACCUCUCUUUCACUGCUAGUGCCACACCUGUCCUAGCAGUCCUAGAAAACGUUAUUUCGUGCGCAAGAGUUAAAGAAAGCGAGGGAACCAUUUAGGUAUUCCGUGCGCACGAACUGUAAAAUCGUUCCCUCGAUAUCACUUUUUUUUCCCUACGGAUGGCCCCUCCCGGGCUCCGUACAAAAUCCGAGCUAUUUCGCCUUCUUGUUCCAUGACUGGGCUCGUGGUUGUCUUCCAGUACCGCAGGGACUGCCUGAAGACCUUCAUGAGAGAUAUUGAACAGCUGGAGCUGGUGAGAGAAACCAAACCAGCCCUCAAGUGAGCUCCGCCCUGCCGGACCCCCUCGGAUUCUCUCCCGGCGCGGCCCCACGCUGCUGUGCUUCAUGCUGACUCUCUGGCUCGCCUCCCCCCCCAGUGCAUCAGUAUGGGGGUGCGCCUGUAACCCCACUUAGCUCUCGUAACUGCCUGUGUGCCUGCAGGCUGGGCUCUCUCGUGUGUGUGUGUAUGUAUUUCCUGAGGUGUGUGUGUUUCCUGAGGCUUGACCACUGGCUGGGCUCGUGUGUGUGUGUGUGUGUGUGUGUGUGUGUGUGUGUGUAUUUCCUGAGGCUUGACCGCUAGCUGGGCUCGUGUGUGUGUGUUUCCUGAGGCUUGACCGCUAUCUGGGCUCUUUUGUGUGUGUGUGUGUGUGUGUGUGUGUGUGUGUUUCCUGAGGCUUGACCACUGGCUGGGCUCGUGUGUGUGUGUGUGUGUGUGUUUCCUGAGUGCCUGGUAUAUUACACAGCAGAGGAAGGGUCAUGUCUGUGAAACUGCUUGUUAUUGUCUUGUUGCUUUGAGCCCUUUUCAAUGCAGUUGUAUCGACAGCUGGGGAGGGAUGAAGGCAGCCGACGAGACUGGCACCUGAUCCUGCACCCCCUCCUCUUCCUCGCUCGUGUGUGGGUCACCCCAACGUUUUCCCUACGUUCCAUAACCACUACUACCGGCACACAGACCCCGCCGCUGUCAUCCCCCGCCAGUACCCCUCUACUGGCUGAGCUUUCGGAGACGCGUCGUCCUCUCCACUGCGGCGCUGAGGGGGUCCGAGGCGAAGGGCCGGGCCUGGCAGUCAGAGGCGGGAGGAAGUGCCUGUUUUCACCCCUCCUCUCCAGCUACUCUUCUCUCAGCUGUCAGUCGGACGAUAACGAGGUGCUCGAGGGUUUUUACUUUGUAAGGACAAUAAAGUGAAACUCUUCCUGGGGUGUCCCGUGUGACCUGAUUCCUGCGCAGAGGCUGAUCUGAAAAUGAAACAUUCUCCCCCUCCCCUGGAGAUGGACUGCGCCGUUACCCCCUGACCUUUCACCCUGGCAGCCUCUCCGCCUACUGCUCCCUAUGUAAAGGGGACGCCCCGAACUUCCCCUGCUCCCCCUUUCUCUCGCUGGUGAGCGGCAGCACCAUCUGGACACCCCCACACAAACUGGACACCCCAGCUUCCCUUCUCUGGACAUCGCAUGACGAUGACCCUCUCCCCCUGGUGUGAGUGAACAGCUCUCUCAAUUUUCAAUUCGAUUCCAGGUGCUUUAUUGGCAUGACCGGUGGGUACAAUCAGUGUUGCCAAAGUGAAUAAAAAUAAUGAAAUUCACAUGAAGCAGAACAAAAAAUAAAAGAAAAAAAAUCUACAUUUACAACAAAGACAUAUUAUAAAAUAUUGACAUAUACUGUAGACAGAUGGAACAUUACUGGGAGACAGACUCACUGUUCCUCAGGCUGGGACAGGUUAACUCCUCCCUCUCCCAGUAGGAUUGGGACCCGUUGUGAUUCUCUCUCUCUCUCAUGUGAGUGAACAGUUUAUUUGGAGUACGAAAACUCUCCUUUGUUGUACAAAUGCAGAAUUCACUUUUACGGUUUAUUAUGGAGCAAAGUACAAGUUAUGUUCCUGCUACACGUCUGCAUGAGACAGAGGUCACAGUUCGUGAGUCUACUGACGCUUCGGUCGCGCCUGUAUCACGCAAUUUCCAUGCUUGCGACAAACCAUCAUUCAACACCAUCUUGACUGCUGCCACCUAGUGGACAGUUCGUGAAACAGAGGACGCUUGAGAAUCUAAAUUCUCUCACUGCUUUAUCCAGUCCAGGGUCACUGGGGGAGACAGAGCCUAUCCCAGCAAGCACCAGGCGCAAUGUAGAGUAUAACUUGGACACCAGUCCAUCACACACUCCCGCUCACUCAAACUCACGGUCACUCACACACACACACACACUCACACCAGGGGCAAUUUCUCCGGAAGACAAUUAACCCCCCAGCAUGUCUCUGGACUGUGGCGGGAAACCGGAGCACCCGGAGGGGACUCUCACGAGCACGAUGAGAACAUACAGACUCCACACAGACAGCACCCCCGGAAUUGCACCCAGGGCGCCAGCGCAGGGCCCACCACUGCACCACCACGCCGCCUCGCAUUCGAACGGUACUGUAUGGUGAAGACCCAGCAGCCCUCAGGGGCCUGUCUGUGUGGAGUCUGCAUGAGCUCCC
Molecule: long non-coding RNA, 4404 nt
Organism: Lepisosteus oculatus (spotted gar)
Lineage: Eukaryota; Metazoa; Chordata; Actinopteri; Semionotiformes; Lepisosteidae
Source: Ensembl